GCCGCGCGCCUAACUCGAACUUGUCGCUCCAGAUUUUAUUGGGAAGCGUAGUAUUUUUCGUUAGUAUAGGAAAUGCAUAUCUCUUCUCUUCCUGUGCGCGAUUAUUACGAUUGACAGGAACUAUGAUAGACUACGCUAACGCAAUGUCGCUGACAAAAUAAUGGAAAAUGUGAGCAAAACGAUUUACGAUAUAAACGAGGGGCUGAUAGCUUUGCGUUCCGAAAUACGAAAGGUUAACGGUAGGAUGGAUAAACAUCGGCACGCCGUUAUUUGCGGUCUGUUAUUGGGCAAUUUGGUUAAACUCGAUAACAUUAAAAGAAGCGCCGGUAGCGUAAUGGCUCAACGAGAGGCUGACGUUGUUAUUAAUUAUGCUAAGUAUCUUAAAACGCUCAUUGACGAAAAGAAGACUGAAUAGACUUAGACCAAAUAGGAGUACCUAUACAUGAGAGUCCAUUUUUUAUAAACAGACCGAUCCAGUGUCAUCCUCCUAUCUGUGUAUGUGGUUUUAACAUUUCCUUCCUGCGAACAAAAACUGUGGUGUGAGAGUGAGAUACCCUCUUGACUUUAUACACGCGAGCACAGUGCACGAAUAUCUAAUUGUCCCGAAAGAAUUCGGUUCCGGUUCCAUUAGAAAAAAAGUUAUUGCACAGGUUCUCGAGAAGGAAGAUAAUCGUCGGCUUCUUUAUUUUGACGCUGCAAAAUUUCUUGACUGGAAGUAAAUUUGAAUGAUUUUGAUUUAUAGGAGAACUUGCAGAUCUCCCCUACUAAUUUUAACAUGGGAAUUGUUUAUGGUUUCGUAGGUAUAUCGUACCAGAGCCGUCCUUAUAGGGUGGAGCGAGUGGAGCGGCCGCUCCAGGCCUCGCCCUUAGGAAAAGGCCUCGCGCAAAGCCUAAACUCGCGCCAAAAAAUAAGUAAAAGUUUUGGUUGAAUGAAAAUAAUAUAAUUAUGUACAGAUAUGCGUGACUAAAAUAUGCAGGGUGUUCAUUUGAAAAUAUUCCACCAUAUAUAUUUAUCGAAAACCACUGAUUAAAGGAAAAAACGCCGAAACACGUAAAAAAAUGUGUCUUGUUAAGGGGGACAACCUUUUAACCAAAAACUACUUCAUCCCCUUUCACCCUCUGCCCCCCAGGGCUAUCCCUUAAAAAUUUUAAAUGAUAAGUGGUAUCGAGUAAUAGCAAACAGGGGUACUUUUUGGUAAUAGCUUGUUUGAAAGGUCUUUCGAAGUCCUUUAUUUUGACGUUUGAUUUUUAAAAUCGCUAGAUUCGUUUUCGAGAAAAUUAGAACAAUUUCCACUCUUUCGGCUAGUGUCAACCAUUUUGGCAGUAAAAUCUGAAUCAAUAAAUUAAUUUUCUCUAUCCCAAGAUUGUCACAAAGGACAGCAAAUUUCUUCUUUCCAAUAGCAACAAAUAAGUGAUGCAGCUCCACCAAGCAAACAAGUCCGGCGGAAAAUUUGCAAACUAAUUUCAGAAAUUCGUGGCGAGAAAACUUUAAGCCUUUAUACCUACAACGAAGGCGUAAAAAAUACGACAGUGACAAAUGUAUAAAUUAAAUGUUUAUGUUGAAUCGGCUUGCUGCACCAAUUUUAUCCGUACGGCAAGAAAAUAGAAAAAAUCCUGUGCAUUCCAAAGCCUGAAAUAUUAUUAAAAGGGUCCCUGGUAUACUUAGACAAAAAAAAAGCUACCAGUGUGUGCUGUGUGCAUUUUUCCUUUGGGAAAUGCUGUACAGAACUAGCUGCUGUUGCAACCAGCAAAUCUACAGAAUUCAUAACUAAAUUUAGGUAAUGUGCUUGGUACAGUGACGGAUUUAAAUUUUUUGCGCCCCUACGCACACCGGCACCCCUCCAAAAAUAAUCUUAAAAUUGCAGUACAUUUUAAGAUGCUACUAAAAUUCACAUUAUAACUUGAAAUUUUUAAAACUAAUAUGAAAAGAAAUACAGUAUAGGUACCUAAGAUUAAGUUUUCACACACGUCAAAACUUGAAUUGUCGAUUAUAGUUCUUACAGUUACAGUUUCUUUAAACUAUCUACCAAUUCCAAUUUAUUUCAUAAUUUUAAUUAAAAUUUUUUGUUAUUUGUAACUUGUUAGGGGACUAAAACUUAAAAUAUUACCUAAAAUAAAUAUAGUGCAAAAAAUGCCACCCUCUAAAGCUGCCGCCCCUAGGCACGUGCCUAGUGUGCCUAUAUGUAAAUCCGCCACUGGCCACGAAGAUUCUCAAAUCAGUGAAGAGGAAAGUGACGACGAUACUGUUUAAUUAGUUAAUUUCCCGCAAACUGAACCUUAACCGCCUGGCCGCCAACGACACAUUGCAUAUUGAUUUGUAUCGAAUAAGUUUGUAUUUACAAUUAUUGAUUUAUUUAAUUUUGUAUUGCGAUAGGGAGUAAAGCUUUUUAUUUC
Molecule: long non-coding RNA, 2393 nt
Organism: Photinus pyralis (common eastern firefly)
Lineage: Eukaryota; Metazoa; Arthropoda; Insecta; Coleoptera; Lampyridae
Exons: 4
Source: RefSeq, a predicted model, not a curated record